GAUGAAGAACGUAGCAAAAUGCGAUAAGUAAUGUGAAUUGCAGAAUUCAGUGAAUCAUCGAAUCUUUGAACGCACAUUGCGCCCGCCAGUAUUCUGGCGGGCAUGCCUGUUCGAGCGUCAUUUCAACCCUCAAGCACAGCUUGGUGUUGGGACUCGCGUUAAUUCGCGUUCCCCAAAUUGAUUGGCGGUCACGUCGAGCUUCCAUAGCGUAGUAGUAAAACCCUCGUUACUGGUAAUCGUCGCGGCCACGCCGUUAAACCCCAACUUCUGAAUGUUGACCUCGGAUCAGGUAGGAAUACCCGCUGAACUUAAGCAUAUCAAUAAGCGGAUGA
This 332-nucleotide unclassified non-coding RNA is filed under the name soil metagenome. RNAcentral's name for it is "partial contains 5.8S ribosomal RNA, internal transcribed spacer 2, and large subunit ribosomal RNA". The stretch from base 1 to 120 matches the Rfam family "5.8S ribosomal RNA", at positions 35 to 154 of the family's 154-position model. The record is from RNAcentral.